CCCUUUGAUACUCUGGGCGACACGCGCGCUACACUGGUUUAUAUAACGUGUAAUUUGGACGAUAGUCUGUAUAAAUCACUAAUAUAAAACCGUGAAUGGGAUAGUUUAUUGCAACUUACAAACUUUAACUAGGAAUCCCUUGUAGAAGUAGUGAAUUAUACUGCUUCGAAUACGUCCCUGCCGAUUGUACACACCGCCCGUCGUUUCUUCCGACUGGUACUCAUUGUGAAUUGCGAGGAGAUUCUGUCAAAUCGUUGUAAAUGCUGGGUAUUGGAGGAAGAAAAAGUCGUAACA
This 294-nucleotide ribosomal RNA is filed under the name uncultured eukaryote. RNAcentral describes it as "partial 18S ribosomal RNA". It matches the Rfam family "Eukaryotic small subunit ribosomal RNA", at positions 1470 to 1796 of the family's 1831-position model. The record is from RNAcentral.